This 501-nucleotide ribosomal RNA is filed under the name uncultured bacterium. RNAcentral's name for it is "partial 16S ribosomal RNA". It matches the Rfam family "Bacterial small subunit ribosomal RNA", at positions 30 to 523 of the family's 1533-position model. The record is from RNAcentral.
AUUGAACGCUGGCGGCAGGCUUAACACAUGCAAGUCGAGCGGGGGAAGGUAGCUUGCUACCGGACCUAGCGGCGGACGGGUAAGUAAUGCUUAGGAAUCUGCCUAUUAGUGGGGGACAACAUCUCGAAAGGGAUGCUAAUACCGCAUACGUCCUACGGGAGAAAGCAGGGGAUCUUCGGACCUUGCGCUAAUAGAUGAGCCUAGGUCGGAUUAGCUAGUUGGUGGGGUAAAGGCCUACCAAGGCGACGAUCUGUAGCGGGUCUGAGAGGAUGAUCCGCCACGCUGGGACUGAGACACGGCCCAGACUCCUACGGGAGGCAGCAGUGGGGAAUAUUGGACAAUGGGGGGAACCCUGAUCCAGCCAUGCCGCGUGUGUGAAGAAGGCCUUAUGGUUGUAAAGCACUUUAAGCGAGGAGGAGGCUACUUUAGUUAAUACCUAGAGAUAGUGGACGUUACUCGCAGAAUAAGCACCGGCUAACUCUGUGCCAGCAGCCGCAGUAA